UGGUGUGACCCUGUUGGAAAACUGGCA
RNAcentral lists this non-coding RNA (27 nucleotides) under Homo sapiens (human). The record is from RNAcentral. Lineage: Eukaryota; Metazoa; Chordata; Mammalia; Primates; Hominidae.